Molecule: ribosomal RNA, 467 nt
Filed under: uncultured bacterium
Lineage: Bacteria
Description: bacterial SSU rRNA
Rfam family: Bacterial small subunit ribosomal RNA
Source: RNAcentral
UAGGGAAUAUUGGACAAUGGGUGAGAGCCUGAUCCAGCCAUGCCGCGUGCAGGAAGAAGGCGUUAUGCGUUGUAAACUGCUUUUUGCCAGGGGAUAAAAAGACUCUGCGGAGUUUAUUGAAGGUACCUGGUGAAUAAGCCACGGCUAACUACGUGCCAGCAGCCGCGGUAAUACGUAGGUGGCAAGCGUUGUCCGGAUUUAUUGGGUUUAAAGGGUGCGUAGGCGGCCCUGUAAGUCAGUGCUGAAAUAUCCCGGCUUAACCGGGAGGGUGGCAUUGAUACUGCAGGGCUUGAGUACAGAUGAAGUAGGCGGAAUUGACGGUGUAGCGGUGAAAUGCAUAGAUAUCGUCAAGAACACCGAUAGCGAAGGCAGCUUACUAAGCUGUAACUGACGCUGAGGCACGAAAGUGUGGGGAUCAAACAGGAUUAGAUACCCUCGUAGUCCCUGAGCGGGCUGGCAAGGCGCAU